Molecule: ribosomal RNA, 841 nt
Filed under: uncultured organism
Description: bacterial SSU rRNA
Rfam family: Bacterial small subunit ribosomal RNA
Source: RNAcentral
AGCGUUAUCCCGGAUCUAUUGGUUCUAAAGGGUACGUAGCCGGGAAACUAAGCUCAGUUGGUGAAAUCCCUGGCAGCUCAACUGUUAGAACUGUCAAUUGAUACUGGUUUCCCUGAAUGUAGUUGAGGUAGGCGGAAUGUGUAAUGUUGCGGUGAUAUGCUUAGAUAUUACACAGAACUCCGAUUGCGAAGGCAGCUUAAUGAACUACGAUUGACGCUGAGGUACGAAAGCGUGGGGAGCGUACAGGAUUAGAUACCCUGGUAGUCCACGCUGUAAACGAUGAUCACUCGUUGUUGGCGAUAUACUGUCAGCGAAUGAGCGAAAGCAAUAAGUGAUCCACAUGGGGAGUACGACCGCAAGGUUGAAACUCAAAGGAAUUGACGGGGCCCCGCACAAGCGGAGGCACAUGUGGUUUAAUUCGAUGAUACGCGAGGAACCUUACCUGGGCUUAAAUGCAGAACGACGGACCGGGAAACUGGUCUUUCUUCGGACGGACUGCAAGGUGCUGCAUGGCUGUCGUCAGCUCGUGCCGUGAGGUGUCGGGUUAAGUCCCAUUACGAGCGCAACCCUCAUCAUUAGUUACCAGCGGGUAAUGCCGGGGACUCUAAUGAAACUGCCGGUGUAAACCGAGAGGAAGGUGGGGAUGACGUCAAGUCAGCACGGCCCUUAUGUACAGGGCUACACACGUGUUACAAUGGUCGGUACAAAGGGCAGCUACCUGGCAACAGGAUGCUAAUCUCGAAAACCGAUCUUAGUUCGGAUCGAAGUCUGCAACUCGACUUCGUGAAGCUGGAUUCGAUAGUUAAUCGCGCAUCAGCCAUCGGCGCAGGUGAAUACGUUC